Molecule: ribosomal RNA, 736 nt
Filed under: Acinetobacter sp.
Lineage: Bacteria; Pseudomonadati; Pseudomonadota; Gammaproteobacteria; Moraxellales; Moraxellaceae
Description: bacterial SSU rRNA
Rfam family: Bacterial small subunit ribosomal RNA
Source: RNAcentral
UAUGCUCAGAUYGAACGCUGGCGGCAGGCWUAACACAUGCAAGUMGAGCGGAGAGAGGYAGCUUGCUACCGAUCUUAGCGGCGGACGKGUGAGUAAUGCUUAGGAAUCUGCCUAUUAGUGGGGGACAACAYUUCGAAAGGAAUGCUAAUACCGCAUACGUCCUACGGGAGAAAGCAGGGGAUCUUCGGACCUUGCGCUAAUAGAUGAGCCUAAGUCGGAUUAGCUAGUUGGUGGGGUAAAGGCCUACCAAGGCGACGAUCUGUAGCGGGUCUGAGAGGAUGAUCCGCCACACUGGGACUGAGACACGGCCCAGACUCCUACGGGAGGCAGCAGUGGGGAAUAUUGGACAAUGGGCGCAAGCCUGAUCCAGCCAUGCCGCGUGUGUGAAGAAGSCCUUAUGGUUGUAAAGCACUUUAAGCGAGGAGGAGGCUACUGAAGUUAAUACCUUCAGAUAGUGGACGUUACUCGCAGAAUAAGCACCGGCUAACUCUGUKCCAGCAGCCGCGGUAAUACAGAGGGUGCAAGCGUUAAUCGGAUUUACUGGGCGUAAAGCGCGCGUAGGCGGCUAAUUAAGUCAAAUGUGAAAUCCCCGAGYUUAACYUGGGAAUUGCAUUCGAUACUGGUUAGCUAGAGUGUGGGAGAGGAUGGUAGAAUUCCMGGUGUAGCGGUGAAAUGGGUAGAGAUCUGGAGGAAUACCGAUGGCGAAGGCAGCCAUCUGCCCUAACAUGAUUUUAGU